Molecule: long non-coding RNA, 228 nt
Filed under: Populus tremula
Lineage: Eukaryota; Viridiplantae; Streptophyta; Magnoliopsida; Malpighiales; Salicaceae
Description: long non-coding RNA (PTRE_LNC000460)
Source: RNAcentral
GCUUGAUAACCCACAUAAAGCUUUCAAAAACCCCACUCUUUUUAACUUCCAAUCCUUUUUGACACUCUUCUAAUUCUUUUCUCUCCAGAAAUCUUGCUAGCUGGCUGAAACGAGGUUCGGGUGCUUGGAUUCGAGGCUCAAAAAUCUCUCUUUCUCUCUCACACACGCAGUGUCAUGGAUGCGAAUUAAGGUACUAUAAAAAGGUGAAAGAAGCGACGGCUAUUUUGG